AGAUUGAACGCUAGCGGGAUGCUUUACACAUGCAAGUCGAACGGCAGCGCGGACUUCGGUCUGGCGGCGAGUGGCGAACGGGUGAGUAAUAUAUCGGAACGUGCCCAGUAGCGGGGGAUAACUACGCGAAAGCGUGGCUAAUACCGCAUACGCCCUACGGGGGAAAGGGGGGGAUUCUUCGGAACCUCUCACUAUUGGAGCGGCCGAUAUCAGAUUAGCUAGUUGGUGAGGUAAAGGCUCACCAAGGCGACGAUCUGUAGCUGGUUUGAGAGGACGACCAGCCACACUGGGACUGAGACACGGCCCAGACUCCUACGGGAGCAGCAGUGGGAAUUUGGACAAGUGGGGAACCCUGAUCCAGCCAUCCCGCGUGUGCGAUGAACGGUCCUUCGGGUUAGUAACGUCUACGUUUGACGAGGAAGAACGGCGUACCCGUUAACGUACGGGUCGUACGAC
Molecule: ribosomal RNA, 456 nt
Filed under: uncultured soil bacterium
Lineage: Bacteria
Description: bacterial SSU rRNA
Rfam family: Bacterial small subunit ribosomal RNA
Source: RNAcentral